ACUGAACAUAAACUCCUAGCCUUGGUGUCUACGUUGUCCGGUGUCGCGAAUACGUUUUUCGUUUACCGGCAAUAUGAUGCUCUGGCCGUGGCUUUAAGCCACCAGGGUGCGAGGUAGAAAUGCCUGCAUCUCCCGUAUUUGGAAAGGUGUUAUGGUACAACUUAC
Molecule: non-coding RNA, 165 nt
Organism: Yersinia bercovieri ATCC 43970
Lineage: Bacteria; Pseudomonadati; Pseudomonadota; Gammaproteobacteria; Enterobacterales; Yersiniaceae
Source: Rfam